UCGCGUCAUGCGCCGCAGGCAGGAGCGGGGGACCCAGGUAAGCGCCGCAUCCGGGCAGUUGACGCCGGAUACGGCUUGGGGUGAAGCCGCGUCCCGGGAGGGACGCGGCCGGGCAACUCAACCGGCCCGAACCCGACAGCUCACCUCGUAGGCGUCGGUGAGGGGAUCC
This 169-nucleotide small RNA is filed under the name Streptomyces toyocaensis. Its description in RNAcentral is "c-di-AMP sequence". It matches the Rfam family "c-di-AMP riboswitch aptamer (ydaO/yuaA leader)". From Rfam's summary of the family: This family represents a conserved RNA structure found upstream of the ydaO and yuaA genes in Bacillus subtilis and related genes in other bacteria. Lineage: Bacteria; Bacillati; Actinomycetota; Actinomycetes; Kitasatosporales; Streptomycetaceae. The record is from Rfam by way of RNAcentral.